Molecule: ribosomal RNA, 1457 nt
Filed under: uncultured bacterium
Lineage: Bacteria
Description: bacterial SSU rRNA
Rfam family: Bacterial small subunit ribosomal RNA
Source: RNAcentral
AGAGUUUGAUCCUGGCUCAGGAUGAACGCUGGCGGCGUGCCUUAGGCAUGCAAGUCGAACGAGAGAUAUUUUUCCGCAAGAAGGGUUUUCUAGUGGCGGACGGCUGAGUAACACGUAGGAAUUUGCCCCUAAGUGGGGGAUAGCCCCCCGAAAGGUGGGGUAAUACCCCAUAAGCCGAGAGGUAAAAGGCCGUAAGGUCGCUUGGGGAUAAGCCUGCGGCCUAUCAGUUUGUUGGUGGGGUAAAGGCCUACCAAGCCUAUGACGGGUAGCUGAUGUGAGAGCAUGAUCAGCCACAGGGGUACUGAGACACGGACCCUACUCCUACGGGUGGCAGCAACCGGGAAUAUUGCGCAAUGGACGAAAGUCUGACGCAGCGACACCGCGUGUGGGAAGACGCUUUUCGGAGUGUAAACCACUGUGGCGAGGGAUGAAAUUUUGACAGUACCUCGCUAGAAAGCACCAGCUAACUACGUGCCAGAAGCUUCGGUAAUACGUGGGGUGCAAGCGUUAUCCGGAUUUAUUGGGCGUAAAGGGUCCGUCGGCGUUUUCAUUAGUCUUUUGUUUAAGCCUGAGGCUCAACUUCAGAAAGGCAAAAGAUACUGUGAAAAUAGAGUCUGUUUGAGGAAACUAGAAUUCUUGGUGGAGGGGUGAAAUCCGUAGAUAUCAAGAGGAAUACCAUGCGCGAAGGCAGGUUUCUACAACAUGACUGACGCUCAGGGACGAAAGCUUGGGUAGCAAAAGGGAUUAGAGACCCCUGUAGUCCAAGCCGUAAACGAUCUUUGCUAGUUGCUUCGAGUUUACUUGAGUGGCGUAAGCUAACGCGUUAAGCAAAGCGCCUGGGGAGUACGACCGCAAGGUUAAAACUCAAAGGAAUUGACGGGGGAGCGCACAACCGGUGGAGCAUGUGGUUUAAUUCGAUACAAAGCGAAAAACCUUACCCGGACUUGACAUGUACCUGCACGGUUAUGGAAACAUAGCUUUCUUCGAGAGUGGUACACAGGUGAUGCAUGGCUGUCGUCAGCUCGUGUCGUGAGACGUCUACUUAAGUGUAGUAACGAGCGCAACCCUUGUUCUGUGUUAUAAGUGUCACAGAAGACUGCCCUUGUUUUACAAGGGAGGAAGGAGAGGAUGACGUCAAGUCAGCAUGUCCCUUACGUCCGGGGCAACACACAUCCUACAAUGGAGCCGACAACGGGUAGCGAAGGGGUAACCUCGAGCCAAUCCUCUAAACGGCCCCUCAGUUCGGAUUGUGGGCUGCAAUUUGCCCUCAUGAAGUUGGAAUCGCUAGUAAUCGCGAAUCAGCAGGUUGCGGUGAAUACGUUCUCGUUCCUUGUACACACUGCCCGUCAAGCCAGCAAAGUCAGCAGCCCCCGAAGCCGGUUGCCCUAACUAGUUUACUAGAGCGACCCUUCGAAGGCGAGGUUGGCGAUGAGGACUAAGUCGUAACAAGGUAGCCG